CUUGAGACAGGUGGGACAUGUCAUUUCUCACAUGAGGUCCCGGCGAGAAGGACCUGCUUCCAUCAGAUUCACACUUGGGAGAGGGGCCCGGCCUCCAGGAGCGCCAGGCAGAAAGGGCACCCAUUAGGAAGAAGAACACAGAGGCCAUGGGAGUGAAAAGUUUGAUGCUGGAAAGCAACAGUAGCACAUUCUGCUACAGAGCGGAAUGAAAAACCCUGGGGAGCAAAUUCCUGAGCCAGAGAAUGGAGCGGAGGAACCAGCCAAGGAGGAUAAAGAGGUGGGAACAGGCAAGAAAACCUGGACUUAGCCUAGAAAAUAAUGAAGAAGGACAGAAAGAGAAUACCAUUCUACUACACCCGCUGAUGACUUAAAACCUGCGUGCUCUGAGGCUGCCCGACCCUGAGCUCCAGAACAGACCAUCGAGUUCAGGAGACAAGCAUGUCAGCCAUGACACAAGGCAGAUGAGAGGGACCCCCAGCGUCCACACGUGGAGGCAGCGGGGGCAGCCGUGACUUCCUUCUGCAGUGUUGAUUCAGCUCCCUUUGAAGAUCCAUACAAACAGGCUGACCAUCAGGGCUGGUCCCAGGCCACCAGGCUGGGUGCAAUGCAGAAAUGGAGAUCUGCCCCGGGGAAGGCAGGUGAGUGUAGGAAGGAGGGAGGGCUGCGAGAAGCUGGGGGCAGCCUCCAUCCCCCUGUGGCCUGGGUGGGCCUGUGCCCCCCCAACCCCCCGACGCAGCUUCCCACACUGGGAGCACAGUUCCUCCCUCCUCUGCCUUCCUCUGCGUGGUGUGGCUCCUCCUUGAGGGAGAGAGCUGAGGAGGUGGCAUUCUUGCUUCCCUGACUCACCCAAAGGAAGAUUUCACAGCCCCUGGCAAGGGCUGCCAGACAGGCUCACCUGUCACCCCCUGUCCAGGGACAGACUGACCGGUAGCCUUGGCUGGGUGGGGAGUUAUGCUGGGAAGUCUUCCAGGCCCCCUGGGGGUGGGAAGAUGCUCAAUGUUCAAAGGAGAUGGAACGAGGAAAACAGUUAAGCAACGAUGGACUCCAGGGGGAAAACCGGAGAAGAAGAAACUGUAAUUCCAGUCCGUCCACAUGGCCCAGCAGUGAACGACAAUUGCAUGGUCAGAGAGAGCAAAAGCACCACGCCGACUGAAAGCAGCUCGAAUGUGGUGGGGCAGUGGGAGAUAAUGCCCUCAUCUACCAAAACAAGAUCUGCCACCUUCGCAGACCACUAAACCUCAUUCCUCCACCCACCUCCCCACCCCCAUGAAGGCCAACUGACCAGAGAGCAGGGCUCCCGAGGGUCGGGUCGGGUCGGGUCGGGUUGGGUCGGGUGGGUGCCUCUUAC
This 1348-nucleotide long non-coding RNA is filed under the name Homo sapiens (human). Its description in RNAcentral is "HSALNT0404573". The record is from RNAcentral. Lineage: Eukaryota; Metazoa; Chordata; Mammalia; Primates; Hominidae.